This 46-nucleotide non-coding RNA is filed under the name unclassified sequences. RNAcentral describes it as "Acido-Lenti-1 RNA". It matches the Rfam family "Acido-Lenti-1 RNA". The record is from RNAcentral. RNAcentral also lists the same sequence under 1 other name.
CCCAGCGUUGAAACGCUGGGCUAUUCUCGGGUGUCCCUACGGGACG